AGCCCUGCCUGACGCAAGCGGGAUCGGGAUGCAGCCAGCGGCACGUGGAGGACGACCGUUCUUGAGUGCGGGCGGCGCAGCGCUGGUGGAGUCUUCGUUUGUUGCCCAGGCUGGAGUGUAAUAGCUCAAUCUCAGCUCACCUUGGGCAGCUGACAGACUGAGAGUCCAUCUGAAAACAAACAAACAAAAACCCACACACACAAAACUAACCCAAGGAUGCUUUAACCAGAGGCAAAGCUCCAACCUGGACCCACGCAGCUCACAGUAGCUCCUGCUCAGGCUACACACAGGCCUGCAAUCCACAGAUAAACACAGCUGGAGAGAAAAAGCGGCUGGGAAUGCAGCUGGGCUGUUUUCUCAAGAGAAGCCCAAGUGGACCCCUGGCCACACACCUGGAUGAUCUUCUCCGGGAUGUUGGAGACAGUGAAGCCGUAGAGCCGCACACGCUCUGGGAAGAUGCUGGACAGGAUCCUGCGGUCCAGCUGGAAGGCGAUCUCACCCACCAGCCUCUCCCAGGCCAGCUGCUUUGACUCUGGGGACACAGGGUCUCGUCAGCCCAGGAGCCUGCUUUCCUUGGUCCUGGAGGAGUGCUCCUUUUACUGGCCACUGUUUGGGGGAGAAGCCCCCUGAUCCCCUGGGGGUGCAGCUGCUGGCAGGAGUGGUGGGAGUGCAGAGAAGGUUUUCAGAUGGGAAUCUAACUCUGUCGCCCAAGCUGGUCUCAAACUCCUCAAGCAGUCCUCCUGCCUCAGCUUCCUAAAGUGAUGGGAUUAUAGUUGUGAGCCACCACUCCCAGCCUGGCCUUUUAUGAUUUCUUUUUUUGACUUUUUAGGAAAUUUUGUUUUAGGACCCAGGAGACAAUAAAGCUUGUGGGCCAAAGGCAAGCAGUCCAUGGAGAGGACAGACUUGAAGGAGAGGGAGCACAGAGUGGGGCAGACAGGAGGGAUGGGCUGCAUGUGUGAGGUGGAGGAUAGAGCUCAGAGUGCGGCUAUCUGUCCUGCUUGGCCUCCAUUUCCUUAGAAGAUCCCAGGGUCUGGGUGAUGUGGGAAAGGACCACUUUGGGGCAACAUCUCCAGGAUGGCUGGGGAGAGGCAGUCAGGGGCCACUGUCCCUGCACAGCCAGGGCAGCCUAAGGAGCGCCGGUGGUCCUAAUGUUUGAAGCAGCCAGGUCAGGCGAGAAGACAGGACAAAUGUUUCCUCUUGCCGCCUGCUCUGGGAAGAUGACCGCUGUGGAGGGACCAGCCAGUCAGGGCUGAGAGGGAGCACAGCACUGGACAGGCCAUGGCCUCGUCCCCAGAGGGAAAUGGCCCAGUCUGUUUUUCAACCAAGUUGGAUUCUAGGCAGAACCAUCACGUAGCACACGGAAGGUAACCGAGGGAGCAAUUCACAGAAAGUCUAACACCAAAAUGUAUAAAGCAGAAGCCACGGGGACUCCCAGGAGGCGCUGGAGUGGUAGCUUUGUCAAGGUCCAGGACAGAAGGAACAAUGGUGCAGACACAGAUGGUGGAAUUACAAAGCCAGUCUACUGUCUAAUGUGCUGCUGCACACUGAGAGGGUGGUGUGGCUGCUGUGAGCUGGAUGCUAUUGGUACCCUCUACCCCUCACCCAAAUACAGUAAGUGCUACCCACUUUCUUCCCAUGCUGCCCUCAUCCUGCCAGGAAUGAGGGCUCCAGGGAAGGCCAAGUACAGAUCAGAGACAGAAGCAUGUGGACAGAGUUGAUGGGGGAGGGCAGGCGGGCCUGGGGAGGAGGGCCUGUGAGAGCAGGGGGCAGAUGCCAGGCCUCAGAAAGACUCAUCCUGUUUGUCUGUUAAUGAUAAAACCUGGCACAACAAACCACUGAAAAAUUGUUCAGCAAAUCAUGAAAUGUUCAAAUGUAUAAUAGCUUGAUGUGAAAUCAUUUACAGUACUAUUUGUAAAGAAAAUAUGAGAACACAAUGAAAUGCUUAUAGUAAAUAUUAAAAUUGUAACAUUAAGUGUAGAAAUGUGGAUUAGAAGCUGAGAGUUGCCAGGCGCGGUGUUUCACGCCUGUAAUCCCAGCACGUUGGGAGGCCGAGGCAGGUGGAUCACGAGGUCAGGAGAUCAAGACCACCUUGGCCAACAUGGUGAAACCCCGUCUCUACUAAAAAUACAAAAAAUUAGCCAGGCAUGGUGGUGCGUGCCUGUAGCCCCAGCUACUCAGGAGGCUGGGGCAGAAGAAUUGCUUGAACCCUAGAGGCGGAGGUUGCAGUGAGCCAAGAUCGUGCCAUUGCACUCUAGCCUGGCGACAGAGUGAGGCUCCGUCUAAAAAUAAAUAAAUAAAUAAAUAAAUAAAAGCUGAGAGUUGCAUUCUCCACUCUGAAAAAGAGGUGGGUAAAUACUCCCCAUGGGUCUGGUGGUGACCUUUAAGAGGUAUAUGUGAAUGUCAAGUUAAUUUUUUUCUUCUUUAUAUUUUCGUGUACUUUCUAAAAUUUUCAUAAUAUGUGUAUGUAUUUUAAAAAACAAACUUUAUGAAGAAAAGUGUUUUCUAAAAAAAAAAAAAAAAAAAAAAAAAUGCAUUUCUGCCUGGUUUUGUCUUGAGACCAGGAGGGGCCACAGCCCUGCUCACACUUAGCAAACAAAGCCAGGCCCUUAUAGGCAAGGCUGGUUCAGGGGCGGCCCAGCCUCAUGUGGAGAGGGGUCUGUGCUUCCUUCCCAGCCUGUGCCGUGGAGGCCCGUGCGUGCCCGGUCCUCUUUGUGGCACCUUUGGCUUCCCUGUCCUCCGGCACUUCCUGUACAAUGUGCACCUUCCCAGGAGCCCUCCUGCCUUCCCUGGCCAAUGCUGGGCCUUUGUGGUCAACUGGGCAGGGCCCUGUAAGUAGGCCAACUGCAGAAGAGGGAGGGGAAGAACUCAGAUUGAUAGAAGUAAAGCUUAGGCCCUGAAAAAUAGGAGAUUUUCAAACCCAAGUGUCCUGGCUGCAUCCCGCCAGCACAAAUGCAACCUCAGCUCUUUCACGUAGAGCAGAGAGCCCAAGGACUACCUCCCCAUUAGGAUUCCUUGGCCUCUCCUUCCUUUUCAGAUGGGAUUUGCCUGCCAGUGCUGAACAGUGAUGUGGUCCCCUCUCCCAAGUCCCUGUGCCUCUGCUGGUGGUGAUUCCCAACAUAUUUCAGCAUGGACUGAGAAAAGCCAAUGUUAGCAUAAAACCAAACCCCAGAUGAGGCACUGGACACGCAAAGUCACUGAGGCCAGUGCAUGCCACCCACACCAGUCUGCAGGGCCAGUCACAUCUGCUUUCACUGCCCAUGGAAUUGUGAGUUGAAAAUCUUAGGCUCCAGUACAAGCACCUUGAAAAGAACUUGAAGAGAACAUUGAAGAGGACUUCAGAUUCACUGCGUUUAUAUGAUUAUUUAAUUAUUUAGGUCUCUCAGCAAGUCCCCACUUCCCUCCCCACUCUCUUGGGACCGAGGCCUCUUACCAUUAUUCUGGCGUGAGGGAAGACCUGCUGUUGCCUCACCAAGCCCACUCAUGAACCCGCUGAUGCCGAGCCCGCCUGCCUGAGUCUUGAUUGCUGACUUGAGCUCGUGAUUCUCCCGAAUGAGCCGCACCAGCUUCUUCAGUUCCCCAUUUUCCCGCAUCAGCCUCUCUAUCUGAUGCCGAAGCCCCUCAUAAUUGACAUGGGGUCUUACCACAUUGCCCAGGCAGGCCUCAAACUCUUGGGCUCAAGCAAUCCUCCUGCCUCAGCCUCCCAAAGUGCUUGAGAUUACAGGUGUGAGCUACUGUGCCUGGCAGAAGAACUUAAGAGUGAAAAAAACCUGAAGUUUUCUGGAAAAUAAGGAAUUCUGCCUGAAGAUUGUGGCACAGAAAUCCCGCCUGAGUUUCCAGCCUGCCUUGCAGAUUUUGGACCUGCCAGCCUCCACAAUUCUGUGACCAAGCCCUUAAAAUAAACCUCCUAACAUAAAAG
Molecule: long non-coding RNA, 3916 nt
Organism: Symphalangus syndactylus (siamang)
Lineage: Eukaryota; Metazoa; Chordata; Mammalia; Primates; Hylobatidae
Source: RefSeq, a predicted model, not a curated record